RNAcentral lists this long non-coding RNA (261 nucleotides) under Elaeis guineensis (African oil palm). RNAcentral's name for it is "long non-coding RNA (EGUI_LNC042917)". The record is from RNAcentral. Lineage: Eukaryota; Viridiplantae; Streptophyta; Magnoliopsida; Arecales; Arecaceae.
GAGGUAUCCAUUUGAUUUGAAGAAAGAGAUCAACAUCAGCCAUCUAGAUCCUUCAUCGCGAGCUAGCACUCCCAAGAAGGAUGAUCUAUUUGGCGCUUUAAGUGGAUCAUCUGUAGAGGUUGGAUAUGCUGUACGGCUGCUUGACAUUAGGAAGGAUCUCCUACCAUAUGUAUCAGUAGUGGUGAUCAUUGAACCAUGAUCAGGUAUUGGGUUUUGAACUCUACGGAUCAGAUCUAAGCGUUAGAUUUGAUUCAGGGUAUC